Molecule: non-coding RNA, 74 nt
Organism: Daphnia pulex (common water flea)
Lineage: Eukaryota; Metazoa; Arthropoda; Branchiopoda; Diplostraca; Daphniidae
Source: Rfam
CUACAUCUACCCUGUAGAUCCGAAUUUGUAGUUGCAUCACAAGACAAAUUCGGUUCUAGAGAGGUUCGUGUGGG